AUUGGACGCUGGCGGCAUGCCUUACACAUGCAAGUCGAACGGCAGCACGGGGGCAACCCUGGUGGCGAGUGGCGAACGGGUGAGUAAUACAUCGGAACGUGUCCUGUAGUGGGGGAUAGCCCGGCGAAAGCCGGAUUAAUACCGCAUACGACCUGAGGGAGAAAGCGGGGGAUCUCCGGACCUCGCGCUAUAGGGGCGGGCGAUGGCAGAUUAGCUAGUUGGUGGGGUAAAGGCCUACCAAGGCGACGAUCUGUAGCUGGUCUGAGAGGACGACCAGCCACACUGGGACUGAGACACGGCCCAGACUCCUACGGGAGGCAGCAGUGGGGAAUUUUGGACAAUGGGGGCAACCCUGAUCCAGCAAUGCCGCGUGUGUGAAGAAGGCCUUCGGGUUGUAAAGCACUUUUGUCCGGAAAGAAAACUUCGUCCCUAAUAUGGAUGGAGGAUGACGGUACCGGAAGAAUAAGCACCGGCUAACUACGUGCCAGCAGCCGCCGUAG
This 500-nucleotide ribosomal RNA is filed under the name uncultured bacterium. RNAcentral's name for it is "partial 16S ribosomal RNA". It matches the Rfam family "Bacterial small subunit ribosomal RNA", at positions 29 to 523 of the family's 1533-position model. The record is from RNAcentral.